GGGCCCUUAGCUCAGUUGGUUAGAGCGCUACCUUGACAUGGUAGAGGUCACAGGUUCGAGUCCCGUAGGGCCCA
RNAcentral lists this transfer RNA (74 nucleotides) under Bacteroidota bacterium. RNAcentral's name for it is "tRNA-Val". It matches the Rfam family "tRNA". Rfam says of the family: Transfer RNA (tRNA) molecules are approximately 80 nucleotides in length. The record is from RNAcentral. Lineage: Bacteria; Pseudomonadati; Bacteroidota.